CUGCAGUUCAAAAAUAUUAAAUGGAAAAUUCCAGAAAUGGACAGAUCCUAAAUUUUAAACUGGGUUAUGGGAAGCCAUUCUCGCAUGUGAUUGGGCACCUCCCUGACUGGGUGUGAGGCGUUCUGGCUAAACUGUGUCGAACUAAUCCCCACCCUCUCUAGGUGUGAGAGCCCAUCCGUGUGGGGGUGUGACUGACCAUUGACCCUGAGACCAAUCACUGACCCUGACCUUGGAAUGCUGUCCCCCUUGACCUUCAUUGGAUGGAAUUUUCCCCUGAAUUUCUUGUUCCCCAAUAAAAGGCCACUCCCUGGCGUGCUCUCUCUCUCUCUCCUGCUGGUCCUGAGUAAGCCUCGCUGCCCCACCAGGUGGCUCGAGGCAGGAGCCAGAGGGAGGGCCGUCU
RNAcentral lists this long non-coding RNA (400 nucleotides) under Marmota monax (woodchuck). The record is from RNAcentral. Lineage: Eukaryota; Metazoa; Chordata; Mammalia; Rodentia; Sciuridae.